UAGGUUUUUCAUUCAUAUAAAUAGCAAAGCGUACAUGAAGCAAAGAAAUGGAAAGUGGAGCACCAACUCCUAACAAACAUGAAAUGGGAAACGUGACAUGAAGAUUGGUUCCUAUAGUUAAGGAAGACCACUUCUUUUAUUAAUAAAACUAGAAAAUAAAUGAGUCGUGAGACUCCUUCAUGCGAGAUUCUUGCCCUUUGGUUGACGUCGUCUAGCUGAUCUCGUACUUGCCACCUCAGCACGUGCUUGACUUCUAGUAUCCUAUCAAUACCCCGGUGGUCUAAAAGAACCUUGUCCUCAAGGUUCAUGUGCAUUGAGGAAAACUUCACUUGAAUUGAUUCUCUUCCUCCCCGGUUGAUUCUUCUAGUUGUGAUGUUUUUCAACGCACUACGGCUUCCAAGACCACGCUGUCUCCAUGGUUCGUUAUUAACAAUAAUUUUUUUGAAUAAAAAGAGUUUUUGUUUUUGAGUGAAAAAGAAAUAUAAAAUCCUUUUUUUUUUUGAAAUUGAAAACAAUGGAAGAAUUAUAGAUAUUAAUCCAUACAAAAGAAAGGAUGUUGAACUUGAUCAACAAACCCGAGUAGAAAAUGGUGAAAAAAAAAGCAAUGAAAAGAACAAUAGCUGGAUAGAUCUCGAUAAACGUUGAUUCCGUAGAAUGGCCAUUCGUCAAGGUUUCUUGAUAAUCAUUGAUUUAUAGAGAAUACUGAUAACAAGUAAGAUGGAAAAAUAUUAAGUUUUUGAUACCACAAAGUGGUCCGGAUCAAAAACAAAACAUGCUCUGAUACCAAUUGAUAGGUCCCUUGCCAAGAGAUAUCUAUUGUUGAUCUAGAAACAUGGAUUUGAUACCAAUUAAGGUCCCUCUUCAAAUCAAAGAGAAUUUGCCAAAGGACAAACUAAGAACACACACUUUUCUUUGGGUAGUUAGACUACCUCUUUUUAGGUUUUUCAUUCAUAUAAAUAGCAAAGCGUACAUGAAGCAAAGAAAUGGAAAGUGGAGCACCAACUCCUAACAAACAUGAAAUGGGAAACGUGACAUGAAGAUUGGUUCCUAUAGUUAAGGAAGACCACUUCUUUUAUUAAUAAAACUAGAAAAUAAAUGAGUCGUGAGACUCCUUCAUGCGAGAUUCUUGCCCUUUGGUUGACGUCGUCUAGCUGAUCUCGUACUUGCCACCUCAGCACGUGCUUGACUUCUAGUAUCCUAUCAAUACCCCGGUGGUCUAAAAGAACCUUGUCCUCAAGGUUCAUGUGCAUUGAGGAAAACUUCACUUGAAUUGAUUCUCUUCCUCCCCGGUUGAUUCUUCUAGUUGUGAUGUUUUUCAACGCACUACGGCUUCCAAGACCAAGCUGUCUCCAUGGUUCGUUAUUAACAAUAAUUUUUUUGAAUAAAAAGAGUUUUUGUUUUUGAGUGAAAAAGAAAUAUAAAAUCCUUUUUUUUUUUUGAAAUUGAAAACAAUGGAAGAAUUAUAGAUAUUAAUCCAUACAAAAGAAAGGAUGU
Molecule: long non-coding RNA, 1494 nt
Filed under: Brassica napus (rape)
Lineage: Eukaryota; Viridiplantae; Streptophyta; Magnoliopsida; Brassicales; Brassicaceae
Description: long non-coding RNA (BNAP_LNC001585)
Source: RNAcentral